Non-coding RNA from Suricata suricatta (meerkat), 826 nucleotides. The record is from the annotation of a RefSeq genome assembly. NCBI's taxonomy places the organism in Eukaryota, Metazoa, Chordata, Mammalia, Carnivora, Herpestidae.
GGUCUUGGGGAGCCAGGCACAGGGUUGGGAUCUCAGAAGGCUGUGCUCUUGGGGUAUCUCUGCCAUGGCCUGGGCUCUGGUCCUCUUCACUCUCCUCACUCAGAACAUAGGUUCCUGGGCCCAGUCUUCCCUGAAUCAGCCUCCCUCUGUGUCUGGGAAUCCAGGAAGCACAGUCACCCUCUCCUGCACUGGCACCAGCAAUGACAUUGGGAAAUAUAAUUAUGUCUCCUGGUACCAACAGCUUGAAGGCACAUCCCCCAAACUCCUGAUUUAUAACGUAAAUACCCGGCCCUCAGGGAUCCCUGGUCGCUUCUCUGGCUCCAAGUCUGGCAACACAGCCUCGUUGACCAUCUCUGGGCUCCAGAAUGAAGAUGACGCUGAUUAUUACUGUUCCUCAUAUGCUGGUAGUUACAGUUAUGUUGUCUUCGGUGCAGGGACGCAUUUGACCGUCACUGGCCAGCCCAAGUCAGCACCAUCUGUCACGCUGUUCCCGCCCUCCCAUGAGGAGCUCAGAGCCGACAAGGCCACCCUGGUGUGCCUCAUCAGUGACUUCUACCCCAGCGGCUUCACGGUGGCCUGGAAGGCAGAUGGUACCACUGUCACCCAAGGUGUGGAGACCACCAAGCCCUCCAAACAGAGCAACAACAAGUACGCAGCCAGCAGCUACCUGAGCCUGUCGCCUGACCAGUGGAAAGCUCGCAGGAGUUUCACCUGCCAGGUCACACAUGAGGGGAGCACCGUGGAGAAGAAUGUGGUCCCCGCAGAGUGCUCUUAGGUGCCUGAGACACCUUGCCUCCCACGUGGAUGUGCAGCCAUUGAACCUCCA